Molecule: non-coding RNA, 233 nt
Organism: Cinara cedri
Lineage: Eukaryota; Metazoa; Arthropoda; Insecta; Hemiptera; Aphididae
Source: the annotation of a GenBank genome assembly
AAUCUGGAAUGGAUGAAAUCGUUCAAAUUCGCUCGUGUUUCACGAAUGCGACUCAUCUGAAACUUUAGACAUUUAGAAUUCUGUAGGUUUCCUGAAAAUAAAAAAUGAAUUUACAACAAACUAUCUACAACUGUGUCACUGGCAUAAAUCCGCUUAUCCGCUCAGUAAAAUCGCCUAAUUUGGCGAUGCUGUCUUACUGCAUGAGAAUCAGCAGCAUCAGCUAUAGUAUAUUG